Mus caroli (Ryukyu mouse) is the source of this 2004-nucleotide non-coding RNA. NCBI's taxonomy places the organism in Eukaryota, Metazoa, Chordata, Mammalia, Rodentia, Muridae. The record is from RefSeq and is a predicted model, not a curated record.
GUGGUCAGCCUGGGACGGAGGGGUGGGCAUUUCGUAGGAGCGCUUGGCUGCAGUCCCGGCCGCCGGGAUGGCGGCGCCGCACCUUUGCGCGGAUGGCUCCUGCUGCUCUCACCCUAGUGCGGUGCCCGGGGUACAGCAGACGCUGGAGGAGAUGGACUUCGACAGGGGUGAGAGGGGUGAGGCGGCCGCGUUGCCGGCGGCGGGCAAUCUCCAGCCCCAUCUCCGGGAACGUGGACUGAAGGAGGCCUCGAACCGUGUUUGGAGCUUCCGGGCCUGGUGCAGGAAGGCUGGCUUCAAAGCGUGGCAGGAAGCCCCUCGACUACUCCGUCUCGAGUGCGGACGGGAAUCUGGUCGGCUGCCCUGAAUGGAGACCUGGGCCGUGUGAAGUAUUUCAUCCAGAAGGCUACAGACCCUAGCCAGCCAGAUUCUGCCGGCUACACCGCACUGCACUAUGCCAGCCGCAAUGGGCACUAUGCUGUUUGCCAGUUUCUGCUGGAAAGUGGAGCGAAGUGUGACGCCCAGACCCACGGGGGCGCCACGGCUUUGCACCGGGCCAGCUACUGCGGGCACACGGAAAUCGCACGGCUGCUGCUAUCCCAUGGGUCCAACCCCUGGCUGGUCGACAAUGAUGGCAUGACCAGUCUGCAUAAGGCUGCAGAGAAUGGUCAUAAGGACAUUUGCUCCCUCCUGUUACAACACAGCCCAGCCCUGAAGGCCGUCCAGGAUCGCAAAGCACGCCUAGCAUGUGACCUGCUGCCCUGCAACAGCAGCCUGUGGGACCUGCUGGCCAGCUGAGGCUCCACCUCCUGUCUCUGGCUGCCCUUGAAGGGUACACAGACUAGCUCUCCACACCCCUGCCUUGCUCAGAGUCACGCUGCCGGGACCAGGGCCAGAUUGCCCAGAAGAGCCCCUCCCGGCCAGUGUGACAGCCGUAGGGAGGCUAGGGAGGGCUGAAGGCUUUUGAGUCUGGACAGGUGAUCAUAUAAGUUAGUCCAUGUACAGACACAUAGCCAUUUGGAAGAAAAUAAAGCUUAUAUCUUGAUGUUAUCACAUGGACAAAAGUAAAUUUCAAAAUACAGUCUCCAAAAGGUAAAAACAAAACACUUUGAAGUAUCAGAAGAAAACCUGGAGUAUGUAAUAAAAGCUGUUGGCUGGCUGAAUGAGCUGGGGGCAGGUUUCUUUUAGAACAGCACCCAUGUCUUCAAGAUGAAAAGGGUUGCCUCACGGUUGCUCUGGGGACCCAGGAAGUCUGUGGACGGAUGCCCUAAGUGAGCACACUCACUACAUUGCAAACAGCAGAGGAGAAUACCCACUGCUCAGUCUGGCCUGGUAAUGCAGGCCUCACAUACCAGCUGGUCAUGAGGCUGCAGAGGAGUUCAAGGCCAGCCUGGGCAACAGGUAAAAGGGAUAUAGGUUAUCGGUAGAAUGCUUACCUGACAUGCAAAAGCCCUGUUUUCAAUCCCUAAUAUCGUGGGAAAACAGUGCCCAGUCCCCAAAGUCUAACCAACACGGGCCUUUAUCCCCAGUGUUCAGUUCUAGUCCGACCUGUAUGAAGUGUGACUGCCAGGUAUGGCUGCCCACCCCUUUAAUACCAGUGUCUGUGGUAGGAAGAUCUCUCUUCGAGCUCCAGGCCAGCCAGAGCUACCGAGACCCUGUCUCCAUAACGCCAUGUAAUAAUAACUGCUUUCCUGUUUGUCUAGCAUUGAUUGCUAGUCGGGCUGCACACCUGUCUUUGACUUUCCUAUCUAUGCCCAUUCGAAAUGUUUUUGUUCUUGAUAUGUAGCCAAGGCUAGCCUCCAACUUUGGAGCCCUCGUCAGGCCUCAGCUUCCUGAGUGUUGGGAUUGUAGGUAUGUGUCACCACAUCUGACUUGCUAUGUUUUUAUCACUUCACAGGAACUUUAUAUUAAUGGAUAUUGAGCCUUUGCUCUGGGUGUGUUUGUAUAUAUAGAGAAACAUAUAUAGUGUACAUAUUAUCUAAUGUAUAUUAAAAUGUUCUUUCAUGC